Molecule: long non-coding RNA, 727 nt
Filed under: Olea europaea subsp. europaea
Lineage: Eukaryota; Viridiplantae; Streptophyta; Magnoliopsida; Lamiales; Oleaceae
Source: RNAcentral
UCAUGUGGUAUGACAAAAUCAAACUCGUUCGUGAUGCAGCACCAAUGGGACAAUUCAUUGAGAAAUAGAACAGAUCUAUAGGGAGAGGGAAUUAAAGAGAAGAAUGGGGAAUUAAAGAGGGGAAGAAGAAGAAUUUAAUAGAAGAGGGCAGAAUAAGGGGAGGGAUGCGCCAUAAGCCACCAAAAUAAUUAUCCAUUCAUCAUCAACUGUCUCAAAUGAGAAACAAAACAGAAAUAAAUAGUAGAACACAAACCCUAAAGAGAAGGGCUUGGGCCAAACCCACUAAACAAGCCCAAUAACAGAAAUAUAAAUAAUAAUCCAAAUAGAAUAUAACUAAUAGUCCAAAAAGAAAAUAAAUAGUAAAUGGAAGAAAAUAAAUAGUAAAUGGAUGUCCGCAUCAACUCUCUCGGGGUGGGAGAAAAACUCGACCCCGUCGAGUGGAUAAAUUAAAAUGUUGCAAUGAAUCUGAUGCUAAAGGCUCCAAGUUAUGCCAUGGGGGACGAUCUCUCUGACGAACCAAAUAUCGAAAUUCCACAAAUGGUGACGAUGCCAAUUGCAAAUUACCCGCAAAAACAUGAGCUGACCAAGAUAACUUAGGCGAGUGAGAAUUUUGCUGACUCUUAUAAAGCUCCAAUAAAUUUGGCUCACACUGCUGAAGUCUCUCUUUGGGAAUCCAUGUGCCGUCAGAAUCAAGUCGAUCCAUCCAACGAACAAGAAAGUUUUGAAU